RNAcentral lists this unclassified non-coding RNA (239 nucleotides) under Boletaceae sp. RNAcentral describes it as "partial contains 5.8S ribosomal RNA, internal transcribed spacer 2, and large subunit ribosomal RNA". Lineage: Eukaryota; Fungi; Basidiomycota; Agaricomycetes; Boletales; Boletaceae. The record is from RNAcentral.
AACGCUACAUUGCGCCCUUUGGCAUUCCGAGGGGCAUGCCCUGUUCGAGCGUCAUUAACACCAAUCAAGCCUGGCUUGGUCUUGGGCGAUGGGAUCCUCCCACGCCUCUAUAUCAUCGGCUGGACGGACCGUAUCUCAGCGUUGUGGCAACAGAAUCGCUCAGAGAAGGGACGGACGCGCCGUUAAACCUCUUUUUACAGGUUGACCUCGGAUCGGGUAGGGAUACCCGCUGAACUUAA